AAGCGGUACAGGUGUUUCUAAAUUAUGAAAAGCAAAAUUUUGCCUAUUCUCACUAUUUCAUGUAGAUUACUAUUCUGGAAGCAUUUUGAAUCUAAGACGUGUAUUUAAAAAUACGUGUUUUAAUGUAGGUACUUUUUGCUUUGUUUCAGUUUUGUACAAGGAUGGCCCACCUUUUUAUCAUUCUACUUAUUCUGUUCUGGUUAAACCAGUUAAAGAGCAGAAUUUCAGAGAUGCAUACGCAGGAGGGAAGCCACAUUUUACCUGGUCUUCCCUUGCAGCUCUGAAUAGGAUAACUACAAAUGCUGGAAAAGGUCUCUUGCUUUUGUAUGUGAUAAAGCCAUCUGCUCUGUCAGAGAAUAAAGUUUCAACUCCUUAUUGCAUCUCACAAUACAAAUUAGAAGAAGUCCUUUUCAAGCGCUGGGUGCCUUCUGAGAGCAGGGAAGAAGAAGAAUUGUCAUAGUCAUCAACUUAAUGAAUUAUGCAUUUAUUAAAUAUUACUUUGAGUAACAAGGACUUAGUGGCAUUUGAACAGAAAUCAAAGGUUUGCAGGUCUGUGUGUUUGAGUGUAAUAUGAACUGAAUAUAUUCUCUGGAGUAUAAGAUGGAAUCGUUCGGUCUAGAAUUAAAUAAUGAAUUCAUUUGUAUAACUGAUGAUUUUCUUUACAUUGUCCUCUUUAGCAGUUCAGUUUAUAACAGUGGUUGGAGAAUUUUGCCUUAAAAUUUUAGAAAACUGCUGAAGAUGCAUGAAUUUUUUUUGUGCAGGAUAUACUGUUGAGACAUGAAUCACAUGAUUACAUUUGUUGUUGAAGAAUGUCUUUAACUUGUAAAUACAAUAAAUUAUUUUAUUAUUUUUUA
This is a long non-coding RNA of Stegodyphus dumicola, 854 nucleotides long. The record is from RefSeq and is a predicted model, not a curated record. Lineage: Eukaryota; Metazoa; Arthropoda; Arachnida; Araneae; Eresidae.